Molecule: ribosomal RNA, 427 nt
Filed under: uncultured bacterium
Lineage: Bacteria
Description: partial 16S ribosomal RNA
Rfam family: Bacterial small subunit ribosomal RNA
Source: RNAcentral
UGGGGAAUAUUGCACAAUGGGCGCAAGCCUGAUGCAGCCAUGCCGCGUGUAUGAAGAAGGCCUUCGGGUUGUAAAGUACUUUCAGCGGGGAGGAAGGCGAUAAGGUUAAUAACCUUGUCGAUUGACGUUACCCGCAGAAGAAGCACCGGCUAACUCCGUGCCAGCAGCCGCGGUAAUACGGAGGGUGCAAGCGUAAAUCGGAAUUACUGGGCGUAAAGCGCACGCAGGCGGUCUGUCAAGUCGGAUGUGAAAUCCCCGGGCUCAACCUGGGAACUGCAUUCGAAACUGGCAGGCUAGAGUCUUGUAGAGGGGGGUAGAAUUCCAGGUGUAGCGGUGAAAUGCGUAGAGAUCUGGAGGAAUACCGGUGGCGAAGGCGGCCCCCUGGACAAAGACUGACGCUCAGGUGCGAAAGCGUGGGGAGCAAACA